ACUCCUACGGGAGGCAGCAGUGGGGAAUUUUGGACAAUGGGCGAAAGCCUGAUCCAGCAAUGCCGCGUGAGUGAAGAAGGCCUUCGGGUUGUAAAGCUCUUUUGUCAGGGAAGAAACGGUGAGAGCUAAUAUCUCUUGCUAAUGACGGUACCUGAAGAAUAAGCACCGGCUAACUACGUGCCAGCAGCCGCGGUAAUACGUAGGGUGCAAGCGUUAAUCGGAAUUACUGGGCGUAAAGCGUGCGCAGGCGGUUUUGUAAGUCUGAUGUGAAAUCCCCGGGCUCAACCUGGGAAUUGCAUUGGAGACUGCAAGGCUAGAAUCUGGCAGAGGGGGGUAGAAUUCCACGUGUAGCAGUGAAAUGCGUAGAUAUGUGGAGGAACACCGAUGGCGAAGGCAGCCCCCUGGGUCAAGAUUGACGCUCAUGCACGAAAGCGUGGGGAGCAAACAGGAUUAGAAACCCCUGUAGUCCCAUGA
RNAcentral lists this ribosomal RNA (474 nucleotides) under uncultured organism. RNAcentral's name for it is "partial 16S ribosomal RNA". It matches the Rfam family "Bacterial small subunit ribosomal RNA", at positions 335 to 800 of the family's 1533-position model. The record is from RNAcentral.